AGAUGUGAGGAUGAUCUGGCUGGCUAGGCAGGUGUCUCCUUUCUCCCUCACCACUCCACGUCUGUCUGUCCCAGGCUAGGCAGGUGUCUCCUUUCUCCCUCACCACUCCACGUCUGUCUGUCCCAAAGCUCUGCACUUGGUGAAAGAGAACAACCUUCCCUGAAAGAGAUGUACCAUUCAUGAAUAGUAGCUGCUCUUCCUUGCCAGGACCUCCAAACAAGCUCAGGGUCCAUUUGUAGGAGAACUGCAGACACAUCCACGUGAGGCACUGCAUGGGGCAGUCUGCCAUUGUUU
Molecule: non-coding RNA, 294 nt
Organism: Callipepla squamata (scaled quail)
Lineage: Eukaryota; Metazoa; Chordata; Aves; Galliformes; Odontophoridae
Rfam family: 7SK RNA
About the family: 7SK was discovered as an abundant small nuclear RNA in the mid-70s but a possible function has only recently been suggested. Two independent studies have found that 7SK RNA binds the CDK9/cyclin T complex (known as elongation factor P-TEFb).
Source: Rfam